This 69-nucleotide transfer RNA is filed under the name Viverricula indica (small Indian civet). RNAcentral's name for it is "tRNA-Thr". It matches the Rfam family "tRNA". From Rfam's summary of the family: Transfer RNA (tRNA) molecules are approximately 80 nucleotides in length. Their secondary structure includes four short double-helical elements and three loops (D, anti-codon, and T loops). Lineage: Eukaryota; Metazoa; Chordata; Mammalia; Carnivora; Viverridae. The record is from RNAcentral.
GUCUUUGUAGUAUAUUAAAUACUUUGGUCUUGUAAACCAACAAUGAAGGAUAUUACCCUUCCUAAGACU